UGCAGUGUGGCAUAGUGGCAAGGUGCUGGACUUGUAAACAAAAGGUUGCUGGUUCAACUCCCUGCUGGUGCAC
Molecule: non-coding RNA, 73 nt
Organism: Megalops atlanticus (tarpon)
Lineage: Eukaryota; Metazoa; Chordata; Actinopteri; Elopiformes; Megalopidae
Source: the annotation of a GenBank genome assembly